GAGGAUAACACCGGAUAAGGAAAUUCAACUGGAAUGUGGACUUCCUCAAAAUCACUGCCUAAGGACGAGUUGGCGGCGGAUUAGGUUGUUGGCGAGGUAAUGGCUCACCAAGCCGAAUAUCCGUAGGGGCCUUGAGAGAGGUAGCCCCGAGAAGGGCACUGAGAUACUGGCCCUAGCUCCACGGAGUGCAGCAGGCGCGAAACCUUUACAAUGCGCGAAAGCGUGAUAAGGGGACCCCAAGUGCUGAUGCAAAGCAUCAGCUUUUGCCAAGAGCAAAAAUCUUGGCGAAUAAGUGGUGGGCAAUACCUGUGCCAGCCGCCGCGGUAACCCAGGAGCCACAAGUGGCAAUCACCUUUAUUGGGCCUAAAGCGUCCGUAGCCGGUUUUGUAAAUUUUCUGUGAAAUCGUUGCGCUUAACGUAACGGCGUGCAGAAAACACUGCAAGACUCGGGACCGGGAGGAGUCAGAGGUAUUUCUGGGGGAGCGGUAAAAUGCUAUAAUCCCAGAAGGACCACCUGUGGCGAAGGCGUCUGACUAGAACGGAUUCGACGGUGAGGGACGAAAGCUAGGGGAGCAAUCCGGAUUAGAUACAACCUUUUUGCGUUCGCAAAAAGCUUGACCAA
RNAcentral lists this ribosomal RNA (622 nucleotides) under uncultured archaeon. RNAcentral describes it as "bacterial SSU rRNA". It matches the Rfam family "Archaeal small subunit ribosomal RNA", at positions 142 to 766 of the family's 1478-position model. The record is from RNAcentral.